GCGAUAAAAGUGUCAUUGCCUUAUAGUGCUGAAACAACUUUAUUUUUUUUCAGAAAUGGACAAAAAUACACAGAUUUAUUCAGAAUGUCAUACCGAUGAAGAUCACAUAAAAAUAUUUGGAAAAAUCAAAACUAUGGAUUUCAAUAUGGGUCAAUAUCUCUAAUGCGCCUCGAAAUGAGGAACUCAAAAGUUGUGUGUAAACAAAAAAUCUCUGUGUAGUGAUAUUGGACAUGUUUCUAUUUUUAACAAAUAACUGAGCUUAACCAUUUGUGGUGAUUAGGAAAGUAGAGGAACAUAGAAUAAAUGUGUAAAAACUAUGGAGCUAUUAAAUGUGUUCAAAGUAUUAAAUUUUCAAAGAACUUAUUGUGUCAAAAAAGGGAUUUUUUACCACGAGGAGCCGCAUCACGAAAGGAUGUUCGGGGUAUGCUAAUUUACGGAAAAAGUAAUCUCACUUCGUACCCCGAAAAUUUACCACAUAUGUGAAAAUGUCACAGCUUUGAAACGAGCUAUCAUACAUAUCCAAGUUUACGAUAUGGACUGAGCUACAGGAAAAAACGUUACCAUUACCGCCUAUGUAAAAACAAUUAAAGAUAUUGACCCAAAUUACAAGAAAAUUUUCAACAAUUUUCAGACUGAUUUAUGGAUGAUUGCACCUUGUACACCAGAGAAAAGUGUGAAAAUGACGUUCCAGACAUAUCAUUAAUUUUUAACCUGAGACGGCAAACUAGAGGUUUUAAAAAGUUCUGAAUAACUGAAAUGAACAAAAAUACACAGAUUUAUUCAAAAUGUCAUACCGAUAAAGAUCACAUAAAAAUAUUUGGAAAAAUCAGAACUAUGGAUUUCAAUAUGGGUCAAUAUCCCUAAUGCGCCUCGAAAUGAGGAACUCAAAAGUUGUGUGUAAACAAAAAAUCUCUGUGUAGUGAUAUUGGACAUGUUUCUAUUUUUAACAAAUGACUGAGCUUAACCAUUUGCGGUGAUUAGGAAAGUAGAGGAACAUAGAAUAAAUGUGUAAAAACUAUGGAGCUAUUAAAUGUGUUCAAAGUAUUAAAUUUUCAAAGAACUUAUUGUGUCAAAAAAGGGAUUUUUUACCACGAGGAGCCGCAUCACGAAAGGAUGUUCGGGGUAUGCUAAUUUACGGAAAAAGUAAUCUCACUUCGUACCCCGAAAAUUUAACCACAUAUGUGAAAAUGUCACAGCUUUGAAACGAGCUAUCAUACAUAUCCAAGUUUACGAUAUUGACUGAGCUACAGGAAAAAACGUUACUAUUACAGCCUAUGUAAAAACAAUUAAAGAUAUUGACCCAAUUAUGUGCGACAAGCAUGACCUGACCGUAUUCAUGGUAUUGUUUUAACCAUAGUACAAAACUCUGGAAAGCUGCUUUAGAAGUGACUGCAUGAACAGGUUUCCAUUGUAAAAAAGGAUAUUUCCAUUUGCUGUUAAACCAGUAACGGCACUGGAACUCGGCGUUUUUUGAUUUAUUCGGCUGAAAAUAAGUAUCAAACGUAUCACCAGAGACUAUGUUUAGUGCAGCUAUUUGCAGAAUUUCGGAAUCUAAUUUCAGCGAAGAUGUUUCUAGGCAAAAAAGUAUGCAACUACCAGUAAAAGAGCAAAAGGGCAAUAGUGCAGGUUUCUGUUUGAUUCCUGUAAUCUCUUUAUCUUCAGUUACUAAACUAAGAGACAAUCCCGAUUUAUAUGUAACACCCUGUUUUU
Mytilus californianus (California mussel) is the source of this 1710-nucleotide long non-coding RNA. RefSeq lists it as uncharacterized. NCBI's taxonomy places the organism in Eukaryota, Metazoa, Mollusca, Bivalvia, Mytilida, Mytilidae. The transcript has 3 exons. The record is from RefSeq and is a predicted model, not a curated record.